RNAcentral lists this ribosomal RNA (253 nucleotides) under uncultured bacterium. RNAcentral's name for it is "partial 16S ribosomal RNA". It matches the Rfam family "Bacterial small subunit ribosomal RNA", at positions 524 to 776 of the family's 1533-position model. The record is from RNAcentral.
UACGUAGGUGACAAGCGUUGUCCGGAUUUACUGGGCGUAAAGAGCGCGCAGGCGGUCGUUCAAGUCGAGUGUGAAAGCCCCCGGCUCAACUGGGGAGGGUCACUCGAUACUGAUCGACUCGAAGGCAGGAGAGGGUAGUGGAAUUCCUGGUGUAGCGGUGAAAUGCGCAGAUAUCAGGAGGAACACCAAUGGCGAAGGCAGCUCGCUGGGACGUGACUGACGCUGAGGUGCGAAAGCGUGGGGAGCAAACAGG